RNAcentral lists this transfer RNA (74 nucleotides) under Clostridium sp. Its description in RNAcentral is "tRNA-Asp". It matches the Rfam family "tRNA". Rfam says of the family: Transfer RNA (tRNA) molecules are approximately 80 nucleotides in length. Their secondary structure includes four short double-helical elements and three loops (D, anti-codon, and T loops). Further hydrogen bonds mediate the characteristic L-shaped molecular structure. tRNAs have two regions of fundamental functional importance: the anti-codon, which is responsible for specific mRNA codon recognition, and the 3' end, to which the tRNAs corresponding amino acid is attached (by aminoacyl-tRNA synthetases). tRNAs cope with the degeneracy of the genetic code in two manners: having more than one tRNA (with a specific anti-codon) for a particular amino acid; and 'wobble' base-pairing, i.e. permitting non-standard base-pairing at the 3rd anti-codon position. RNAcentral also lists the same sequence under 14 other names. Lineage: Bacteria; Bacillati; Bacillota; Clostridia; Eubacteriales; Clostridiaceae. The record is from RNAcentral.
GGCCCGGUGGCUCAGCUGGUUAGAGCGCCGCCCUGUCACGGCGGAGGUCGUGGGUUCGAUCCCCAUCCGGGUCG